RNAcentral lists this ribosomal RNA (253 nucleotides) under uncultured bacterium. RNAcentral's name for it is "partial 16S ribosomal RNA". It matches the Rfam family "Bacterial small subunit ribosomal RNA", at positions 524 to 776 of the family's 1533-position model. The record is from RNAcentral.
UACAGAGGGGGCAAGCGUUAUUCGGAAUUAUUGGGCGUAAAGGGCGCGUAGGCGGCUUUGCAAGUGACGGGUGAAAUCCCUCGGCUUAACCGAGGAACUGCCUGUCAAACUGCAUGGCUUGAGACCAGGAGAGGUGAGUGGAAUUCCCAGUGUAGCGGUGAAAUGCGUAGAUAUUGGGAGGAACACCAGUGGCGAAGGCGGCUCACUGGACUGGUACUGACGCUGAGGCGCGAAAGCGUGGGGAGCAAACAGG